CGUUUUUUUUUUCUUUUGAAAAAAGUUAUUAGAAUUUGUUUAUUAUUAUUAUUAUUAUUAUUAUUUAAUUGUUAUUUUAGAAGGUAGAACUUAAUUAAUUAGACUAAUCUAUAGAUGAACAUAAAAGAAAAAAUAAAAAUAAAAAUAGAAAGAAAAAAAAUUAAGGUGUGACAAUGUGCGAGAUUUUGUGGUUGGAGAGCCUAGGAAGUUCAAUCAAAAUUUCUUCACUAGUCCCUUGGCUGCAUUUAUUGGAAAUUUGUCUUGGCUGACGCUACUAUCCAUUGCCCACUAUGCAUUCUCUUGGCCAAUUCCCAUGGAGCUUGGAAACCUUAAGCAACUAACUAUGCUUUCCUUUGGAGAAAAUAAUUUCUCUGGAACGCUCCUCCCGCACUUGAUAAUUUGUUCUGCUUGUGAAACUUUACAUAAACAGUGCUGGAGUUAAUGGUGAAAUUCCAUCUACAUUUGCUGACCUUCGAAACAUGCAAAUUAUGUGGUCAUCAGACUGUCUAUUCUCAGGCAAGAUCCCUGACUUCAUCGGGAACUGGACAAACCUAACUUCUUUGAGAUUCCAAGGCAACUCUUUUGAAGGUCUAAUACCAUCCAGUUUUUCUCAAUUGAUCUCACUGAAUUCUCCUUAAAAUUAUUGGAGCAAGAGCAGUUUUAGUGAUGUAUACAGCACCUCCAAAACAAACAGUUCUAAGAAAUGGUAGCAUUCCAUCUGAUAUUGGAGAAUACCCACGUUUACAAAUACUGUAUUUUCCAAGACUAGAAAAUCUCAUAUGCCCGAGUGUUUCAAUACAGCCACUGCGAGUAUUUGACUGCUCAUCCGGAGUGCAACUCAGGAGGGUUUUACAAUUACAUUUCAUUCGUGUACCGUGAUUGUGAGAAAUUCGGCAUUUUGGGGUAUGUAGUGUUGGCAAUUUGGUUAGCUUCAUUGUUCUAUCUACUAGGUAAUGCUACAGAAGACUACUUUUUUGGUUCUUUGGAGAAGCUUUUGAGCCUCUUGAAGUUGCCAGCAACUGCAGCGGCUCUGCUUCCUCUUGGUAAUGGAGCUCCUGAUGUGUUUGCAAGCACUACUGCUUUUGUGGGAAAGGAUAAGGGUGAAGUAGGUCUUAAUAGUGUGUUGGAAGGAGCCAUCCUCGUUACUUGUAUUGUACAUGUUGUGUGUACUAAAUAUCUCUUUGUGUAGCAGUGAAAUUCAGCUUGAUAGGAAAUGUUUCAUCAGACACAUUUGUUUCUUUCUCUUUACUCUUAUGUCACUUAACUUCAUAUUUACGAUUGGUGAGGUUAGUGUUGGAGGUGCAAUAGCAUUUGUUUCAAUUUAUGUGGUUUAUGCCCAGCAAAGUUUUAUUUAUCUGAUGUGCAGAAAUGGGCAAUUAGCAAUGUGGAAUUGUUUUUAUAUAGAUAAGGUCCAUUAUAUUCUGCGACCACUAGCACAAAUCACUGGCUCUGAUGUGACUCCAGAGCUUUUCCAGAUGGCAAGGAUGUCUCCAGGAUCUCUUAGAUACUAUGGUCUAGGUCUUGCUCUUGAGAAUGGACGUUAUACUAUAAACCUGCAAUUUGCUGAAAUUGCUUUUGAUGAUCGAGGCUCACAAACUUGGAUAAGUCUAGGAAGCUUUUUGAAUUAGGCCCUGAACAAACACUUCCACUUAUGCUGAAUUAAGAGCUGUUGCUGAAGAUUUCAAUAUUUCAAGGGUACACUUUCUGAUGUGAGGGUAGUAGCUGUAAAGCAACUUUCAGUAGCAUCGUAUCAAGGAAAGAGUCCAUUUAUAACUGAAAUCGACACCAUAUCUGCAGUACGACAUCGUAAUAUAGAGAAAUUGUAUGGAUGCUGCAUCAAAGGAAGUAGACAAAUCUUGGUUUAUGAAUAUCUUGAAAACAAAAGCGUUGAUCAUGCACUCUAUGGUAUGAAGGCUACUAAAUAUUGUUUUUAUCUCUUGGAUCCAUAAGAAUAUACUGUUAGUUACGCGUAAACAGAAAUCUUAAAUUAUACAUAUUCAACUUAUAUAUAAUUAUUUUAUAUAAAGAUUCUGGCUGAAGACAAGAAAUGAAAGAUAUGUAAUUGUGAAAUUACAAGUUUCCUUUAGGCUGCGUUGUCAUACAUGGAGGCAACCACAAGAUAUCUAGACGUAAGACUUUAUUGAUUUGUGGAAAAUGAGUGGAGAAAAGGGUUGUUUGAGGGGUAGAUGCACGCCUUAUAAUGAAGGCUUCUCUUUCUAUUUAUAGGCACUUCACAUUAGGAACAAGGUAAUGCCACGUGUCAGGUUCUAUGAAAACUAGUUCAUGGGCUUCUCCUCAUUUGCUCUUUUCCAAGUGGCAUAUAUGAUAUUAAGGUGUGUAUGUCUGAAUGGAAACUAUUGUGUCAAUUCAAACUAUUUAAAUGUAUAGGUCCAUGUAGAAUUUACUUCA
Long non-coding RNA from Ziziphus jujuba (common jujube), 2409 nucleotides. RefSeq lists it as uncharacterized. NCBI's taxonomy places the organism in Eukaryota, Viridiplantae, Streptophyta, Magnoliopsida, Rosales, Rhamnaceae. The transcript is spliced from 10 exons. The record is from RefSeq and is a predicted model, not a curated record.